This 2118-nucleotide long non-coding RNA is filed under the name Arabidopsis lyrata. RNAcentral's name for it is "long non-coding RNA (ALYR_LNC000376)". The record is from RNAcentral. Lineage: Eukaryota; Viridiplantae; Streptophyta; Magnoliopsida; Brassicales; Brassicaceae.
AAAACCCUAAACCUUACUUAUAUUCUUUCCCGACCAGAAUCUGGUUUCUAUUAAUUAUUUUCAACUUAGUUGGUGUUCUAAAGUAGUAAGAGGCUUAAAACUUGAAAAGUCUCCAACUUUAGGCAUUUUCCGCUAUAAGGGUGUUUAAUCCAUUUUUCAGUUUGGAUUGUUGAGUUUUUGGAUAUUUUCAAGUUUUUCUAGAAAUAGUUACCAAACUAAAAAUCACACCAACUCAUUCGUCCCCGACAAACUCUCCCAAAACCUAGCCGCCGUUCAUCCACUUUUCAGAUUUUCGCUUGCCCUCUCCGGUGAUCGGCGCUCCUCGCCGCAGCCGUGAGAGGGCCCAGUAGCUUCUUUGUCUUUCUUUUAUUUGUGUUUCGCUUCUUCUUGCCUUGGUGUUUCGGUAGAAAAGGGUUUCGGUAGUCUCAGAUGGUGUCUCUUCGCGGCGAGGCUUCGGGUUUGGCCGGCGGUCAGCUCCUCCUGAGAGAGGUGUUUUGUUUUGGGUUCCGAGAUCUGUCCAUUGAUGGAUGGCUCUGUCUUUGUAAGCCUUUGCAAAGGCUCGAGUCUUCUUCUGAUUCCUGAUUCUGGUUUAUACGGAUAUGUGGCAGUGGUCUCUCUGCGUUUCUCCAUCAUGGUCGUUCUCCUCCUUCUCCGAGUUACUAGGGUAAGCUUUUAAGUCUUGAUUGCAGAUUUUUGGGCCUUCGUUUGGGGAAUCAAUUGGUUUGCUGCGAGUGUUGAUUUUGUGUGUUGCGGAUGCGGUCUCUUAGUAGUAUGGUUGGUUAGAGGGUAGAAGCCUUAGUUUCAAGUUUAGGGAUGGCAUUAUUGACUCCUAGUUCUGCCUUCUGUUACUUUCUGCCCGGUUAUUGGGGUUAUGAGUUUGUGAAGGUUUCGUUUUGUGGGUUCUUCAUUUGGAUGGUAGUCUCCUGCAAAGGCAUCUACUAGCUCUCUUCCUUUUCCUUGUUUGGAUUUAAGGUUUGAGUUCAAGACGAUGUGGUAGGCUCGGUCUCUAUUCCUUCUCUUGCGUGGCGUAACCAGUUCUUAGGCUGUAGAUAGUUUUGGCUGGGUCUACGAAUGUCCGCGUGUAAGGUUUGUUGGCCCUCUUUGGCGUUUUCCCCUUCGGAUCUCAAGGCUUCUCCUUGUCCCUUCUCCUGCUUGUCUUCUCUGGUUUCUGGUGUAGUAGUGAUGGUUAGGAUCUGUGCUCUGAUCCUCUUUUAUCUGUGCUCGUUUCUGCUCGGGGUGUGGUUGUGUGAGCUUGGUUUUGUAUCCUUCUCGGGCCUUUCAUGUAAAGGCAAUCUAAUGAUGGGUUCUCUUGUUGCUCCUGUUUGUAACCACUUUCCAGCGUCCAAAAUGUUCUAUGGAAAUGUUCGUCGGAUUCUUUUCGUGAAGAGUUUGCAGUUGUGUUGCUUGAGUCUUAGAUAUUAGCCUUUCCCUAUACUUUAAGGUUUUCCUUCUUUUAUGUCUGCCUUUUUUGGCCUUUGUCUCUGGGGGUUUCCAUGUACCCGCCGGCUUAGUUUUCCGGGGGUUAGAGUCCCGCCGGCGUUAGUAUUUCACCAUGUAUCCCAACUUUGUAUUUCUCCCUUGGUUAUAUUUCAUGAAUUAUUCAGAUGAAAAAAAAAAAAAAAAGUUACCAAACUAAAAAUAUGAUUAUAGCAUGUAUCAGGUUGGUUCAGUUUAAUUGAGCAGUUCUGGUUUUAGUCAAAUAAAUAAUUUAUUAGGUUGUCUCUUUUUCUUUUCAUAUUUAUCUGUGUUAAAGUGUUUGGAUGUAUUUUCCCGUCUAAGAUUGGAUAGGUUCGAGUCAUUCUUGAACAUCUCUGAAAUUUGCAUCCGUAGUACUAUUAUACUAUUGACAUCGGUUGAAACAUUUAACCACUUCUGUUUUCUUCAUCCAUAAUCUGAAUAUGGUUAAACGCACAACUUUUUGGUGUUCUAAAGAAUCAAGAGUCUAAAACUUGUAAAUUCCACUAAUUAUUGCUCUACUACUCUCUACUCUAUAGUUGUUUCUUUGAGCAUUCCUCUGUUCUUGGUUUUCUAGUGUUUGAAAUUGAGAAAAUGUUGUCAAUCUUAGAGAGAGUUAACACAACAUCAACUUCUUCAUUUUUUUCGUACACAACCACACAA